GAAUUCGCCCUUAGAGUUUGAUCCUGGCUCAGGAUUAACGCUGGCGGCGUGCAUAACACAUGCAAGUCGAACGAUGAAACUUAGUAGACUUCUUCGGAAUGACACUAAGCGAAUUAGUGGCGAACGGGUGAGUAACGCGUGAGUAACCUGCCUUACACAAGGGGAUAGCCUUUGGAAACGAAGAAUAAUACCCUAUAAAACUAUAAAAGCACAUGCUAGAAUGGUCAAAGUGCUAGCGGUGUAAGAUGGACUUGCGUCUGAUUAGCUAGUUGGUGAGAUAAAAGCUCACCAAGGCAACGAUCAGUAGCCGGCUUGAGAGAGUGUACGGCCACAUUGGGACUGAGACACGGCCCAGACUCCUACGGGAGGCAGCAGAAGGG
RNAcentral lists this ribosomal RNA (380 nucleotides) under uncultured Bacillota bacterium. RNAcentral describes it as "bacterial SSU rRNA". It matches the Rfam family "Bacterial small subunit ribosomal RNA", at positions 1 to 359 of the family's 1533-position model. Lineage: Bacteria; Bacillati; Bacillota. The record is from RNAcentral.